This 176-nucleotide unclassified non-coding RNA is filed under the name soil metagenome. RNAcentral describes it as "partial internal transcribed spacer 1". The record is from RNAcentral.
CGAGUCGGGACCUCCUUGUCGAGGUCCCAUCCACUCUAUCCUAUCCUGUGUUGUUGACCCGGGUUUGCGUUGGAUGCGACCGGCCUCGUUGUCGUGUUCAUCCGCGCGGCCCACUUUUUCAAUUCUACCCAAUGUUGACCAAACUUUGACUGAUUGUUGUUUUGUAAUUGUUAAAA